RNAcentral lists this ribosomal RNA (443 nucleotides) under uncultured bacterium. Its description in RNAcentral is "partial 16S ribosomal RNA". It matches the Rfam family "Bacterial small subunit ribosomal RNA", at positions 338 to 795 of the family's 1533-position model. The record is from RNAcentral.
CCUACGGGUGGCUGCAGUGGGGGAUAUUGGACAAUGGGGGGAACCCUGAUCCAGCGACGCCGCGUGAGUGAAGAAGUAUUUCGGUAUGUAAAGCUCUGUCAGUAGGGGAGAAAGAAAUGACGGUACCUGACCAAGAAGCCCCGGCUAACUACGUACCAGCAGCAGCGCUAAUACGUAGGGGGCAAGCGUUAUCCGGAAUUACUGGGUGUAAAGGGAGAGUAGACGGUUAAGUAAGUCUGGAGUGAAAUGCAGGGGCCCAACCCCGGGACUGCUCUGGAAACUGAUGGACUUGAGUGCAGGAGAGGUGAGCGGAAUUCGUGGUGUAGCGGUGAAAUGCGUAGAUAUUAGGAAGAACUCCAGUGGCGAAGGCGGCUUACUGGACUGUAACUGACGUUGAGGCUCGAAAGCGUGGGGAGCAAACAGGAUUAGAUACCCUUGUAGUC